GCCAGAACACUUGCUCUAAAUUUUGGUUCUUUCCUCCCGUCUUUAAAAACCAUUAAAAGUUCAUGAUUUGCUACCCUUCUCUUAUCUCCGGCCUCCAUCUUUCACUACUCUUUAUUCACCAAUUAUGAUAGUAAUGGCAAACCGCAUGAGAAUGCUGCUAUUAACCCUUUCCACUGUCAUAACAAUCAACUUCUCAUUAUCAUCAACAAUUUCUGAAGUUUCUAAAGAACAAAUACCAUGCACAAUGUGCUAUUCCUGUGACAAUCCUUGUCAGCCUUUACCAUCGCCGCCUCCGCCUGCUAUCCCUGAAUGUCCACCGCCUCCUCCCCCACCUUCUCCACCGCCACCAGCUAUCCCCGAGUGUCCACCGCCACCAGCUCCUAUUAAUGAGUGCCCUGCGUGUCCAACACCACCGACACCAUUUCCGCUCCUAUUAAUGAGUGCCCUGCGUGUCCAACACCACCGACACCAUUUCCGCCUGUGCUGCCCCCUAAGCAGUCGUAUUGGCCGGGUGCUGGCUAUUCCUUUAAUGGACCACCAGCUGGUUACGGGAACAAUCCAGUGCCUUACUUUCCAUUUGACAAUAACAACCCACCACCUUCUUUCUCUUUCAAAUCCGUUCAUUUGAAGCUGCAGUCCAUUGUUCUCUGUAUUUUUCUUUCGCUUACUUUUCUAUGCUUCUUCUAAAAAUUAACCUCUUAGGCAGCUUGGAACUCAGAGGAGAGGAAAUUCCAUUUAACAAAGCAGCAGGCCCCGGAACUGCUAAUCUAAAAGAAGAAAUAUGGCUUAGCGCCUGGCAGUCAAUUCUAUAUAUGAAGGAUUUUUCUGUUUCCUGUCCCCUGUAAUUGUUCAAUAAAUAUUCAUGCAUGUUAUACAUAUUUAAGAUAGUAAAAUACAUAAAUCUGUAAUCCCAAAUGCGAAUUUAGCAUGUAAUUUUCAUUUUUUAUUCCCCACAUCAAUCCAGUUCAUGCGUGUGUUUGACUGUAACAUCUAGACGCUUGUCUUGUCUUUGAUUAGUUUAAACUCUUCCUUCAAUAAUAGGUAAUUUAAAGGGUAUCAAUUAUAGAUUUGGA
Molecule: long non-coding RNA, 1073 nt
Filed under: Populus trichocarpa (black cottonwood)
Lineage: Eukaryota; Viridiplantae; Streptophyta; Magnoliopsida; Malpighiales; Salicaceae
Description: long non-coding RNA (PTRI_LNC003318)
Source: RNAcentral